Molecule: ribosomal RNA, 1536 nt
Filed under: Staphylococcus pseudintermedius
Lineage: Bacteria; Bacillati; Bacillota; Bacilli; Caryophanales; Staphylococcaceae
Description: bacterial SSU rRNA
Rfam family: Bacterial small subunit ribosomal RNA
Source: RNAcentral
UUUAUGGAGAGUUUGAUCCUGGCUCAGGAUGAACGCUGGCGGCGUGCCUAAUACAUGCAAGUCGAGCGAACAGAUAAGGAGCUUGCUCCUUUGACGUUAGCGGCGGACGGGUGAGUAACACGUGGGUAACCUACCUAUAAGACUGGAAUAACUCCGGGAAACCGGGGCUAAUGCCGGAUAACAUGUUGAACCGCAUGGUUCUACAGUGAAAGACGGUCUUGCUGUCACUUAUAGAUGGACCCGCGCCGUAUUAGCUAGUUGGUGGGGUAACGGCCUACCAAGGCGACGAUACGUAGCCGACCUGAGAGGGUGAUCGGCCACACUGGAACUGAGACACGGUCCAGACUCCGGAGGCAGUAGGGAAUCUUCCGCAAUGGGCGAAAGCCUGACGAGCAACGCCGCGUGAGUGAUGAAGGUCUUCGGAUCGUAAAGCUCUGUUGUUAGGGAAGAACAAAUGUGUAAGUAACUGUGCACAUCUUGACGGUACCUAACCAGAAAGCCACGGCUAACUACGUGCCAGCAGCCGCGGUAAUACGUAGGUGGCAAGCGUUAUCCGGAAUUAUUGGGCGUAAAGCGCGCGUAGGCGGUUUUUUAAGUCUGAUGUGAAAGCCCACGGCUCAACCGUGGAGGGUCAUUGGAAACUGGAAAACUUGAGUGCAGAAGAGGAAAGUGGAAUUCCAUGUGUAGCGGUGAAAUGCGCAGAGAUAUGGAGGAACACCAGUGGCGAAGGCGGCUUUCUGGUCUGCAACUGACGCUGAUGUGCGAAAGCGUGGGGAUCAAACAGGAUUAGAUACCCUGGUAGUCCACGCCGUAAACGAUGAGUGCUAAGUGUUAGGGGGUUUCCGCCCCUUAGUGCUGCAGCUAACGCAUUAAGCACUCCGCCUGGGAGUACGGUCGCAAGACUGAAACUCAAAGGAAUUGACGGGGACCCGCACAAGCGGUGGAGCAUGUGGUUUAAUUCGAAGCAACGCGAAGAACCUUACCAAAUCUUGACAUCCUUUGACCGCUCUAGAGAUAGAGUUUUCCUCUUCGGAGGACAAAGUGACAGGUGGUGCAUGGUUGUCGUCAGCUCGUGUCGUGAGAUGUUGGGUUAAGUCCCGCAACGAGCGCAACCCUUGAACUUAGUUGCCAUCAUUCAGUUGGGCACUCUAAGAGAUCGGAAGAGCGAACCGGAGGAAGGUGGGAUGACGUCAAAUCAUCAGCCCCUUAUGAUUUGGGCUACACACGUGCUACAAUGGACAAUACAAAGGGCAGCGAAACCGCGAGGUCAAGCAAAUCCCAUAAAGUUGUUCUCAGUUCGGAUUGUAGUCUGCAACUCGACUACAUGAAGCUGGAAUCGCUAGUAAUCGUAGAUCAGCAUGCUACGGUGAAUACGUUCCCGGGUCUUGUACACAGACCGUCACACCACGAGUUUGUAACACCCGAAGCCGGUGGAGUAACCAUUUGGAGCUAGCCGUCGAAGGUGGGACAAAUGAUUGGGGUGAAGUCGUAACAAGGUAGCCGUAUCGGAAGGUGCGGCUGGAUCACCUCCUUUCU